RNAcentral lists this transfer RNA (76 nucleotides) under Bacillus subtilis subsp. subtilis str. BSP1. Its description in RNAcentral is "tRNA-Ala". The record is from RNAcentral. Lineage: Bacteria; Bacillati; Bacillota; Bacilli; Caryophanales; Bacillaceae.
UUGUGGUCUUAUGCUUGAAACACAAGAUAUUAAUGUUUCAGCUUGUCGUUUUUUAUGCCAAACAUCACUUUAUAAU